CCUACGGGUGACAGCAGUCGAGAAUCAUUCACAAUGGGGGAAACCCUGAUGGUGCGACGCCGCGUGGGGGAAUGAAGGUCUUCGGAUUGUAAACCCCUGUCAUGUGGGAGCAAAUUAAAAAGAUAGUACCACAAGAGGAAGAGACGGCUAACUCUGUGCCAGCAGCCGCGGUAAUACAGAGGUCUCAAGCGUUGUUCGGAAUCACUGGGCGUAAGGCGUGCGUAGGCUGUUUCGUAAGUCGUGUGUGAAAGGCGCGGGCUCAACCCGCGGACGGCACAUGAUACUGCGAGACUAGAGUAAUGGAGGGGAAACCGGAAUUCUCGGUGUAGCAGUGAAAUGCGUAGAUAUCGAGAGGAACACUCGUGGCGAAGGCGGGUUCCUGGACAUUAACUGACGCUGAGGCACGAAGGCCAGGGGAGCGAAAGGGAUUAGAUACCCCUGUAGUC
Molecule: ribosomal RNA, 446 nt
Filed under: uncultured bacterium
Lineage: Bacteria
Description: partial 16S ribosomal RNA
Rfam family: Bacterial small subunit ribosomal RNA
Source: RNAcentral